AGCAGCCGCGGUAAUUCCAGCUCCAAUAGCGUAUAUUAAAGUUGUUGCAGUUAAAAAGCUCGUAGUUGAAUUUCGGGAUUAGUACGUUGGUCGUGCCUUAGGUACGUACUGGUGUUACUGGUUCCUACCUUCUGACGAACCAUCAUGUCAUUAAUUUGGUGUGGCGGGGAAUCAGGACUGUUACUUUGAAAAAUUAGAGUGUUUAAAGCAGGCUCGCGCUUGAAUACAUUAGCAUGGAAUAAUGAAAUAGGACGUUGACCCUAUUUUGUUGGUUUCUAGGAUUGACGUAGUGAUUAAUAGGGAUAGUUGGGGGCAUUAGUAUUCAAUUGUCAGAGGUGAAAUUCUUGGAUUUAUUGAAGACUAACUACUGCGAAAGCAUUUGCCAAGGAUGUUUUCAUUAAUCAAGAACGAAAGUUAGGGGAUCGAAGACGAUCAGAUACCGUCGUAGUCUUAACCAUAAACUAUGCCGACUAGGGGAUCGGGAUGAUGUUAAUUUUUAAUGACUCAUUCGGCGCCUUAC
RNAcentral lists this ribosomal RNA (520 nucleotides) under uncultured Glomus. RNAcentral's name for it is "SSU rRNA". It matches the Rfam family "Eukaryotic small subunit ribosomal RNA", at positions 569 to 1091 of the family's 1831-position model. The record is from RNAcentral. Lineage: Eukaryota; Fungi; Glomeromycota; Glomeromycetes; Glomerales; Glomeraceae.